This 253-nucleotide ribosomal RNA is filed under the name uncultured bacterium. Its description in RNAcentral is "partial 16S ribosomal RNA". It matches the Rfam family "Bacterial small subunit ribosomal RNA", at positions 524 to 776 of the family's 1533-position model. The record is from RNAcentral.
UACGUAGGUGGCAAGCGUUGUCCGGAAUUACUGGGCGUAAAGGGCUCGUAGGCGGCCAACUAAGUCAGACGUGAAAUCCCUCGGCUUAACCGGGGAACUGCGUCUGAUACUGGAUGGCUUGAAUCCGGGAGAGGGAUGCGGAAUUCCAGGUGUAGCGGUGAAAUGCGUAGAUAUCUGGAGGAACACCGGUGGCGAAGGCGGCAUCCUGGACCGGCAUUGACGCUGAGGAGCGAAAGCCAGGGGAGCAAACGGG